Molecule: RNA transcript, 1719 nt
Organism: Portunus trituberculatus (swimming crab)
Lineage: Eukaryota; Metazoa; Arthropoda; Malacostraca; Decapoda; Portunidae
Exons: 6
Source: RefSeq, a predicted model, not a curated record
CUGAAAUAACUGGCUUCAUUCAUUCGUCGUCUUGCCGUGGGUGGAGGUGCUGGAGGACUCGUUUAAGUGGUGUGAGGCCUCGUGAGGAGCCUCGUGAGCUGCCUCGAGGCGUCAUGAAGCAGCUGGUCCCGGGUGGCUGGCUAGACAGACACACUAACAUAUCAAGUUACUCGCCAGCCACCACCACCACUACCACCACCUACACAACCCAUAAUCUACCAAAGUGCUAAAUGUUUGGUUGUAAAGUAGAAAUUUCACGCCCUGCUUGACAAAUCUCGUCGUGUCAACAAGCAUCAGUUUAUCCCUAAGAGGCAUUCAGAUUUCAAGUGUUGUAGUGGACACUACUUGACUUGGCGGCUGGGUGAGAGAGGCAGACCAGGCCAAUCAGAGGCCAUUGAGGCCAGUAGCAUGUGAGGAGGGCAAGACAAAUGGUUUUCUUUCGAUUAGCACCCGCCCCAACAGUACCAACAGUACCCAUCAACCACACAGAGCGUGUGGAGGAAGGGGUCUGACAGAAAAAGUCUCUCAAUCCGACCCUGGUGGCAACCUUAACACACACUUGAUCCAUCGCUUGGCCUGGAGGAGAAACAGUGAUGGAGGAAUUGGUGACCUGACCAUCGUUGUUGGUGUUCACAUCCCGCACGUCCUCACUCAACGCUGGUGUCCAGGUAGGCCAUGUGCGUCGCUUAAUCUGCAUCACUCUCGCCCCAGCUGAUGUCCAGGUAGGCCACGCUCCGCCAUUCCACCUCCUGCCUCCACGUCGCUUCAACCCUGCUGUGCAAAGCCACCUUCACCCCCAGCCCUAAGAAGCACAAUUUCCUGCCUUUCAAAGAUAAGCUUGAGCUUAUAAGAAAGUGAGAUUAGAUGCCAUACAAUGACGUGUUCUGCGGCUGGUGAGGAAGGAUGGACAGCAGCAGGAGCAGACAGGAGUCAUGUUGCUGGAGCAUUGGAAGAAUUUGUCGGUGUUGGUGGUGCAGCAUAAGGACCAGGUGCUGGAGGUAUUUCAUCUUAACUCACUGAAGCUUUCAUCACAUGGACUGUCUGGAGGGAGAUCAGGACAACCACCUCCAAUGACACAUGCUCAAUCUCACUCAAGGCAGCACCAGUGCUCCUACAUAGCAAGAAUAGCAAGACCAUGGAACUUGUUCACGGCAGUAAUGUGAUAUACAGACAGUGACGAUACAGCAAGUGAAAGUGGCUGCACCCAGGUGGCAAAAAACACAAACUCCCACAUUAGUGCUGUGAUAGCCAAGUAACAAGUUCUUUUAUGUGGAAGUGCAGGCAUUUUAAAUAGUACAUGAAAAAUGUGCUCCUUUAAGCCUCUGUAAUUUAGUUCAAAUAAAAAAAAAAGGUCAAAGUCAUGGGGAGAAGACCUAUGUGUGAUUGCUCCAGUAGCAGGGACAUAUAUGGGACUUCAUUCAGUUUAGAUAUUAGUGUUUCCCUUAUUCAAGAUCUCUAGAAUUAUUGGUAUUUAAGUGGAAACAGCAACAUAACACUGUCAGCUAGUGGAGUGUACUGUGUUCUCCAAGGCCUUGCUUGGUCCUCUGUACGGCUGGAGGCACCAACAUUGUGAAGUGUGUAGCAGGGUUUACUAUAUGUAUACGCAGUGACACUGGAAGUGUACACACACACACACACAGAGAGAGAGAGAGAGAGAGAGAGAGAGAGAGAGAGAGAGAGAGAGAGAGAGAGAGAGAGAGAGAGAGAGAGAGAGAGAGA